Molecule: long non-coding RNA, 1368 nt
Filed under: Pan troglodytes (chimpanzee)
Lineage: Eukaryota; Metazoa; Chordata; Mammalia; Primates; Hominidae
Description: long non-coding RNA NONPTRT009069
Source: RNAcentral
GGGUAAAUGGAGGCCCCUGGGAUGGCCUCCCAGGUGGCCCCUCUAAUGGAUCCUCCUGUCUCCUGAUUUCCAGUCCGGGUGCCAGCUCCUACUGCCUCACUCCUCCUAGGUCUCCUCCUGGGCUCCAAGGUGCUGCUGCUGGUUGAUGUCUCUGCUGCCUACGUCCACCGGAAGCAGAAGGCCUGACUGUAAGUGUAGAGGAGGGAGGGUGGGCCAAGGGCUGCUCCAGAAGGUCAGGCCAGCAGGAGCCACGCAGCCUCAGGGUGAGUGGAGUUUGGAGAAGGUGAUGGGGCUUCCUCAGCACCCUCAGAAGUCUCAGUCAGGGAACCCUCUAGGAGAAUCCCAACCCCAGGAAGUGUGUGGGUGCUGCAGGAGGUGGGCUACCGCAAGGGUGUUCAAAGGUGUCCACAGCACCCUAGGGGCCCAUAGGGGAGGUGGGGAGAGGGGGCUGAAUGAGGGCCAACUUUGUGGGUGGUCCCUUGCAGGCCAUCUCUCAAUUAUUUGAUGCUGUACUCCAUGGCGUCUAAGGAAUCCCCACUGUAGAGUACUGUUGAGACGCCUCAAGUGGGCUGCUCUUAGUGCUCUCAGGCUCUCAGCGCCUGAGUGGCAGGUAUGAGGGAAAGAGCGUCAGGACUUGGGAGGAGGGCUGAGCAGGUGAAAUUCUGUCUCAGGGCUCCCUGUCCACCCACAAUAGGCAUCCCAGGAGGAAGACCAGCACUGAGGACAUAGCAGACUCUCAGGAAUCAUUUCUUGAAUGAUGAGCAGAUGACUAAAUGUGGACGUGUUUCCCACAGCUCCUUUCCUCCUCCCCCGCCAUGUGGGACCCUCAGUCUGUGCUGCCUCCUUCCUUCCUUGAAGGGCUCAGCUGGAGAGAAGGAGCUGGCGAGAAGCUUCCCCAGACUCAGCUCCAAAUGCCUAUCCUCCCAGGACAUCUUCCUGCCCACAGGCUCCUGUUACUCCUUUGCAGAGUCCUUGAUGCUCCAUAGCAGGGUCUUCAUUCAUGGUCCUGAGCAGAGGCCAUGGGAUGGGGCUCUGGGGAGUGACUCACGACACCUCCCUAGGAUGUGGGAAACAUGCCAAAUCUAAACACAUUAGGACUCCUUGCAUCCAUCGCCUUGGGACUGGCCAUAAACCAUAGACUCUCUCUAGCCUCUCAAGAGUUAUUCUGCCAUCUGGAUUCCUGCCUACUCCAACUUCCCAGCCUUGAGAAGUUUGAGAUCUCCCCAGCACAGACAUUUGGACGGAGCAGGCUCCUGAGGUCUCCAGGAUACCCAUCCCAGCCACCUGGCCCCACCCUCCUGGUCCUUUCCUGCUGCUGAUUCUGCUGCUGGGAUGCACAGCUACCUCACUCCUCAGACAACAUAGCAG